RNAcentral lists this ribosomal RNA (444 nucleotides) under uncultured bacterium. Its description in RNAcentral is "SSU rRNA". It matches the Rfam family "Bacterial small subunit ribosomal RNA", at positions 26 to 518 of the family's 1533-position model. The record is from RNAcentral.
AGAGCGAACGCUGGCGGCAGGCUUAACACAUGCAAGUCGAGCGCCCCGCAAGGGGAGCGGCAGACGGGAGAGUAACACGUGGGAACGUACCCUUUGGUUCGGAACAACCCAGGGAAACUUGGGCUAAUACCGGAUAAGUCCGUAAGGAGAAAGAUUUAUCGCCAAUGGAUCGGCCCGCGUCUGAUUAGCUAGUUGGUGAGGUAAUGGCUCACCAAGGCGACGAUCAGUAGCUGGUCUGAGAGGAUGAUCAGCCUCACUGGGACUGAGACACGGCCCAGACUCCUACGGGAGGCAGCAGUGGGGAAUAUUGGACAAUGGGCGCAAGCCUGAUCCAGCCAUGCCGCGUGGGUGAUGAAGGCCCUAGGGUUGUAAAGCCCUUUCGGCGGGGAAGAUAAUGACGGUACCCGCAGAAGAAGCCCCGGCUAACUUCGUGCCAGCAGCCGC